GGUUAAGCGACUAAGCGUACACGGUGGAUGCCCUGGCAGUCAGAGGCGAUGAAGGACGUGCUAAUCUGCGAAAAGCGACGGCGAGGUGAUAUGAACCUUUGACCCGUCGAUGUCCGAAUGGGGAAACCCAGUGUGAUCCGUCACACUAUCGUUAACUGAAUACAUAGGUUAACGAGGCGAACCGGGGGAACUGAAACAUCUAAGUACCCCGAGGAAAAGAAAUCAACCGAGAUUCCCCCAGUAGCGGCGAGCGAACGGGGAGCAGCCCGGAGUCUGAAUCAGCUUGUGUGUUAGUGGAAGCGUCUGGAAAGUCGCACGGUACAGGGUGACAGUCCCGUACACGAAAAUGCACAGGUUGUGAACUCGAAGAGUAGGGCGGGACACGUGGUAUCCUGUCUGAAUAUGGGGGGACCAUCCUCCAAGGCUAAAUACUCCUGACUGACCGAUAGUGAACCAGUACCGUGAGGGAAAGGCGAAAAGAACCCCGGCGAGGGGAGUGAAAAAGAACCUGAAACCGUGUACGUACAAGCAGUGGGAGCACCUUCGUGGUGUGACUGCGUACCUUUUGUAUAAUGGGUCAGCGACUUAUAUUCUGUAGCAAGGUUAACCGUAUAGGGGAGCCGCAGGGAAACCGAGUCUUAACUGGGCGUUAAGUUGCAGGGUAUAGACCCGAAACCCGGUGAUCUAGCCAUGGGCAGGUUGAAGGUUGGGUAACACUAACUGGAGGACCGAACCGACUAAUGUUGAAAAAUUAGCGGAUGACCUGUGGCUGGGGGUGAAAGGCCAAUCAAACCGGGAGAUAGCUGGUUCUCCCCGAAAGCUAUUUAGGUAGCGCCUCGUGAACUCAUCUUCGGGGGUAGAGCACUGUUUCGGCUAGGGGGCCAUCCCGGCUUACCAACCCGAUGCAAACUACGAAUACCGAAGAAUGUUAUCACGGGAGACACACGGCGGGUGCUAACGUCCGUCGUGAAGAGGGAAACAACCCAGACCGCCAGCUAAGGUCCCAAAGUCAUGGUUAAGUGGGAAACGAUGUGGGAAGGCACAGACAGCCAGGAUGUUGGCUUAGAAGCAGCCAUCAUUUAAAGAAAGCGUAAUAGCUCACUGGUCGAGUCGGCCUGCGCGGAAGAUGUAACGGGGCUAAACCAUGCACCGAAGCUGCGGCAGCGACG
Molecule: ribosomal RNA, 1169 nt
Filed under: Enterobacter cloacae complex sp. P38RS
Lineage: Bacteria; Pseudomonadati; Pseudomonadota; Gammaproteobacteria; Enterobacterales; Enterobacteriaceae
Description: partial 23S ribosomal RNA
Rfam family: Bacterial large subunit ribosomal RNA
Source: RNAcentral